Molecule: ribosomal RNA, 234 nt
Filed under: uncultured Eubacteriales bacterium
Lineage: Bacteria; Bacillati; Bacillota; Clostridia; Eubacteriales
Description: uncultured Clostridiales bacterium partial 16S ribosomal RNA
Rfam family: Bacterial small subunit ribosomal RNA
Source: RNAcentral
CGGACGGGUGAGUAACGCGUGAGUAACCUGCCUUACACAAGGGGAUAGCCGUUGGAAACGACGAAUAAUACCCUAUGAAACUAUCACUUCGCAUGAAGCGAUAGUCAAAGUGUUAGCGGUGUAAGAUGGACUUGCGUCUGAUUAGCUAGUUGGCGAGAAAAAGCCCACCAAGGCAACGAUCAGUAGCCGGCUUGAGAGGGUGUACGGCCACAUUGGGACUGAGACACGGCCCAG